RNAcentral lists this ribosomal RNA (510 nucleotides) under uncultured microorganism. RNAcentral's name for it is "bacterial SSU rRNA". It matches the Rfam family "Bacterial small subunit ribosomal RNA", at positions 9 to 511 of the family's 1533-position model. The record is from RNAcentral.
GAGUUUGAUCUUGGCUCAGAUUGAACGCUGGCGGUGUGCUUAACACAUGCAAGUCGAACGGUAACAGGCUAGCUUGCUAGCGCUGACGAGUGGCGGACGGGUGCGUAACGCGUAGGAAUCUGCCUAUUAGUGGGGGACAACCUGGUGAAAGCCAGGCUAAUACCGCAUACGCCCUACGGGGGAAAGGCAGGGGAUCUUCGGACCUUGCGCUAAUAGAUGAGCCUGCGUUAGAUUAGCUUGUUGGUGAGGUAAUGGCUCACCAAGGCGACGAUCUAUAGCUGGUCUGAGAGGACGAUCAGCCACACUGGGACUGAGACACGGCCCAGACUCCUACGGGAGGCAGCAGUGGGGAAUAUUGGACAAUGGGCGGAAGCCUGAUCCAGCAAUACCGCGUGUGUGAAGAAGGCCUGAGGGUUGUAAAGCACUUUCAAUUGGGAGGAAAACAGGCAGGUUAAUAUCCUGUCUCUUGACAUUACCUUUAGUAAGAAGCACCGGCUAACUCCGUGCCAC